Molecule: long non-coding RNA, 1078 nt
Organism: Alosa alosa (allis shad)
Lineage: Eukaryota; Metazoa; Chordata; Actinopteri; Clupeiformes; Clupeidae
Exons: 4
Source: RefSeq, a predicted model, not a curated record
CAAAAGACCUGGCGGACUUGUUUGAAUUUCAGAGCACGUCCUUUCUCACACAGAGGGAUGGACUAUACCCUGGCCAGAGGCACCCCCCUCACCCCCACCCUAACCAAUGAAAAAAAAAGAAAAAAAAACAUGCCGACUCUCUCAGCCCGACAGUGCACUUUUCCAUUUUGGGCCGUGGACAAAUAGGUUAUGGGAAACUUCUCUCCCUCCCUCUGUCCCUCCUCUUCACUCUCUCCGGCUCUUCACUCUCCCCACUUCUCUCCUGCGCUUGGGAUAAGCUUCGGCUUACAGCAGUGCAACUGAGGCACGCGUAACGAACUAAGUAAGCGGCAAUUUUAAACGAAGUGAUGUCUAAACAACACUGCGUAUGGGAGAUUGUUACCCUCCAGGAUGAAUACAGGGGUUAUGUUGGAGAAUGAACAAUUCAGAAACGAAGUGGGAAAAUAUGAAGAGAAUUCACAGACAUCCUUGAAAUUCAUGGACCUCCUUGAAAUUCAUCCUCAAUAGAGAAAAGCUACCCAAGGGGCGAGAUGAGAGGCGGCUGCUCUGAAGAGGCGAAGAUGGACAUCAAUCAGCAGAGGUCCACCCUCUAGACCGCAUCUCUCCAGUGUUGGUUGGAACUAUGGGACAUCACUGGACAGUCUUUUUUCACAAUGGACAUAAAAGGACAAUCCUGUUAUGAACAAUCUGAAGCUGAAAAAGGCAGUUUAACAAAUGGCAAGUGAUGCCUCCUAAGAGCGCUGCAGCUUCCCCGAGACAAUGUGUCGCAAGUGUGAAAGGAAUGUUGGGGAAAGCUGUGGAUGACUUCACCUCGCCUCAAGUUGCCUCAGGGACCAGUACCACAGUGGCUACAAAGUUUUGUUUUAUGGAUACCUGAUAUCUUUGACAAUGUGGAAAAUGGGCUACAAAAAUACGAUGCAAUCUAAAGCACUAGGAACCUACAGCAUUCAUCAUCGAAUGUGUGCACAUUGAGAGUGCUAUUUCCAUUCUGUAGAUUUCCUUUUGAAAUUGUUGCACUGUUUUUUUUUUGUUACUUUGAAAUUCUUUUUCUCUAAUAAAUGAUAUAUGUUUUCUAAAA